Long non-coding RNA from Macrobrachium nipponense, 492 nucleotides. RefSeq lists it as uncharacterized. The record is from RefSeq and is a predicted model, not a curated record. The transcript has 4 exons. Lineage: Eukaryota; Metazoa; Arthropoda; Malacostraca; Decapoda; Palaemonidae.
GUUUGUUUCUGUAUUUCCUUUCGUCAUAUAAUAGUGGUGUUCACGGAACUGUAACUGUCAGUUAUUACAGUGCUUGUGACUAGGCCUAUAUAUACCCAGGCCGAGAAAGUACAGUGGUUUUGAGGCAUAAAUGGUGCUAUUGUUUCCAAAAUUCUUCAUGGCUGGUGCUUAGUUCCCUCGGUGACGUACAAAGCGGGUGUUCAUGGAACUUUCAGUCGCUGCCUAUUACGGUGCUUUUAAAUGAAACAAGAAAUUGUGUAGAAUUCCCCUAAUUUUACAAGAUAAGGUGACCUCCAGCCACGAACUCUGGGAGUGUGGGAAACCUCCAGAUGUUCAAGCAGAUGGGAUGAAAAUUCAAGGUCCGUGGACUGAUUUUGGAUUGCAUUGCCAAACCCACAUGGUAGAUAUGGCAUGCAGUAAUGAAGACAGGAAGGAAAAUUUUCAUCAGCAUCCCAAACGUCAAAACACAAACUUCAUCUGAGUGAACAUGGA